RNAcentral lists this ribosomal RNA (253 nucleotides) under uncultured bacterium. RNAcentral describes it as "partial 16S ribosomal RNA". It matches the Rfam family "Bacterial small subunit ribosomal RNA", at positions 524 to 776 of the family's 1533-position model. The record is from RNAcentral.
UACAGAGGCCACAAGCGUUAGUCGGAAUCACUGGGCUUAAAGGGUGCGUAGGCGGGCGUGUAAGCGUCUUGUGAAAUCCCACGGCUCAACCGUGGAACAGCAGGGCGAACUGCACGUCUUGAGGCAGGUAGGGGCCGCGAGAACAGUAGGUGGAGCGGUGAAAUGCGUAGAUAUCUACUGGAAUGCCGAUGGUGAAGACGCGCGGCUGGGCCUGUCCUGACGCUGAGGCACGAAAGCGUGGGGAGCAAACAGG